This 762-nucleotide long non-coding RNA is filed under the name Cyanistes caeruleus (blue tit). RNAcentral describes it as "lncRNA (ENSCCEG00000014786.1)". Lineage: Eukaryota; Metazoa; Chordata; Aves; Passeriformes; Paridae. The record is from RNAcentral.
UUUCUUGUCUAAACAAGUCAAAGCUGAAGGAUCAUCUCAUAAAAUAGGCACAGAAUCUGGUUCACUGCUGUUUUGAAGUCAGGUGUUCAGACUGGGAUUUCUAAAGGGCAUAUAUAUAAAACUUAUAUCACAAUAAAGCCUCUCCUCUGGUAAUAUAAAUAGAGCAGUAAUUUUAAAUUUGUAAGCACAGAUAUAUACAUGUAUUAUUAUAUAAAAUAGUUGUUAUUGUCUUCUUCUGCAGGAUUUGCAUCUUCUUAGUGAUUAAGGAACAGAGAACAGAUGAGCUCUCUUGAGGCCAAAUUUAAUUUCUGAGAUUUAUUUGACCUGAGGACAAUUUGGCACAAAAUAGGCAAGAAAAGUGAAGAAUGCCAUUGGUGGUUAUCAAAAAGGAAAGAUCUCUCAGGAUCUGCAGCGCAGUGUGGCAGGACAGAGAUGAUGGAAAGGCCACAGUGACAUCCAACUGAUUAGAACUGCCUGCAAAAUGGUUUUCUCCAGCCCAAGAAAAUUUGGAGAAUACAGAAACCAUCCUCCUUUGUACACCAGGAGCUGCAGUCCACAGCUGAGCUCUCAUGAAAAGUUUCAGAUGCCUGGUCAGGGCUAUGUGAAGUGUUUCAUAAUCAGAAGACUCAGAUGAUGAACCUGACCUUUACAAGCAGAGCUGGAUUUUAAUUUCCUCUUCACCUUUGGGGAAUUCUGAUAUAUCAAGAUUUUGGUCCCAGCUGUAACAAAGGUGUCAUGGCCAAGUAUAACAUUUGCAUGAAG